Molecule: long non-coding RNA, 1114 nt
Filed under: Salmo salar (Atlantic salmon)
Lineage: Eukaryota; Metazoa; Chordata; Actinopteri; Salmoniformes; Salmonidae
Description: lncRNA (ENSSSAG00000098864.1)
Source: RNAcentral
CAACUAACAGAGAACUAUAAGAACACAGGACCAGCUGACAGAGAACUAUAAGAACACAAGACCAACAAACAGAGAACUAUAAGAACACAGGACCAACUAACAGAGAACUAUAAGAACACAGGACCAGCUAACAGAGAACUAUAAGAACACAGGACCAGCUAACAGAGCGGUAUAAGAACACAGGACCAACUAACAGAGAACUAUAAGAACACAGGACCAGCUAACAGAGAACUAUAAGAACACAGGACCAGCUAACAGAGAACUAUAAGAACACAGGACCAGCUAACAGAGCGGUAUAAGAACACAGGACCAACUAACAGAGAGCUAUAAGAACACAGGACCAGCUGACAGAGCGGUAUAAGAACACAGGACCAGCUAACAGAGAACUAUAAGAACACAGGACCAGCUAACAGAGCGGUAUAAGAACACAGGACCAAAUAACAGAGAACUAUAAGAACACAGGACCAGCUGACAGAGAACUAUAAGAACACAGGACCAGCUGACAGAGAACUAUAAGAACACAGGACCAGCUGACAGAGCGCUAUAAGAACACAGGACCAGCUAACAGAGCGGUAUAAGAACACAGGACCAGCUAACAGAGAACUACAAGAACACAGGACCAGCUAACAGAGAGCUAUAAGAACACAGGACCAGCUAACAGAGAACUAUAAGAACACAGGACCAGCUAACAGAGAACUAUAAGAACACAGGACCAACUAACAGAGAACUAUAAGAACACAGGACCAGCUAACAGAGAUCUAUAAGAACACAGGACCAGCUAACAGAGCGCUAUAAGAACACAGGACCAGCUAACAGAGAACUAUAAGAACACAGGACCAGCUAACAGAGAACUAUAAGAACACAGGACCAGCUAACAGAGCGGUAUAAGAACACAGGACCAGCUAACAGAGAACUAUAAGAACACAGGACCAGCUAACAGAGAGCUAUAAGAACACAGGACCAGCUAACAGAGAGCUAUAAGAACACAGGACCAGCUAACAGAGCGGUAUAAGAACACAGGACCAGCUAACAGAGAACUAUAAGAACACAGGACCAGCUAACAGAGAGCUAUAAGAACACAGGACCAGCUAACAGAGAACUAUAAGAACACAGG